This 373-nucleotide long non-coding RNA is filed under the name Physcomitrium patens. RNAcentral describes it as "long non-coding RNA (PPAT_LNC012371)". The record is from RNAcentral. Lineage: Eukaryota; Viridiplantae; Streptophyta; Bryopsida; Funariales; Funariaceae.
CAAACCAAUUGAGAAAGAAGUCGAUGGAAGGACUGGAGGAGGAGAAAGAUUUGCAAUUAGAACUAGAUUCGAUGGAACACACAUUGGAUAAUGCAGGAAAUGAUUAAUAGGGUGGGCCAGAGGAAAUAGUAACUUUGUAGAGUUUUGUUAAGUAGUUUUUAGAUAGGAAUCAAUUGCGUGUUUGUAAGGGCACUACACAAUUAGGAGUGGGGCUAUGUAGAAUAUGUAAAUAAAUUUUGUGAUAAGUUACUGGUUGGUUAUUGACAACCUGAAGAAUUAGACUUAUGGUUAAGUAGUUUAGUUGGUAACAAUAGGUUGUUAGUAGAACAAAUGGUUAAGAAUUCAAAGGGUCAUAACCUUUGGAAUCUGUUGG